Molecule: long non-coding RNA, 2984 nt
Organism: Crotalus tigris (Tiger rattlesnake)
Lineage: Eukaryota; Metazoa; Chordata; Lepidosauria; Squamata; Viperidae
Exons: 5
Source: RefSeq, a predicted model, not a curated record
CUUUACUCCAUCCUGUCGCAUCAGAGAACAUGGCGGCUGCCCCUGGUGCGGCAAAGGGGCUCGACCAGGCCGGGUUUCGGCCGCUGGAGAUGAAUGAUUCAGGAUGUGAAAAUAUUGGGCAGAAGAAUUCUGCUGCUAUAGCAUAGUUGUAGAGGACAGACAUGAUCCUGGGAAAAGGUGUGGCUGCUUUGAAGAGUUUCUGACAGAUUCUGUGCUUAUCUGAGUUUUGAAUCCAGACUUGAAGCUUAAAAACGGACAAAACAAGCAUUGAGUGGUUUUAGUAUUUUCAAGACUAUUUAAAUCCAGAGAUGAAAAGAUGCUUCAAGCGGGAGGUAAAACAUGAUCGUUGCAUCUGUCAAGCCUCUUUAAUGAAGCUCCAGUUUGACCUCCCGGACACACAGCGAUUACCGUAUGCAAGAAAAAUACUUGUUUGUGUUAAGAAACCACCAAGGUGCCACAAACAAUUGUGCUAUGUCAUCACUGCCAGGUCAUUGUGGUAGCUUUUUAAUUCAAAUCUGUAUUGUGCAAGCCCAGGGAGAGUUCUGGCAUCUUUGUUGUCAACUGUUGAAGCAAGCAUAUUCCAUUUACUACAACCUACAACUUUUUUUUUUUUUGCUUCAACUCGAUGUAGUUGUAUAACCCUAGUAAUUUUCUUUUCAAUGAAAAUUCCUGAAUCAUUUAUUUUAGCAUUAUAAAUAUAGUGGUAGGGUAAAAUAAUAGCCAUAAUAAUGUUUAAAUUAAGGACUUUAAAAAUUAAUACUGAAUUAAAGUUAGAAUGAUUUUUAUAAUUUCUGAAUCUUAUCCACCUAUUAGAAAUCCAAAUAUUUGCAUUCCUAAUAACAUUUGCUAAUAUUAGAUUCAGUUUCUUUCCUGAUUGAUAGUGAAAUACUUCCAGUCUGCAGAAAUGAUGUUUGAUUUAAGUGGUAGUUGUAUUGUCUGUUGUAUACAGAUUAUGACCACCACUUGGUGGCACUACCUGGUUUCAAGUAAAGUAAGCAGUAUUCUGGUUCUGGAAAUUGAACAGUAAUUCAUACAAGAAGAAUCACUGUAGCUGAUGCAAAAUAAAAAAAAAAGUGUAAUUAUAUGAAUUAAAAAGUGAAGUUUAACUUUUCCUUACAUUCUUUCUUGGAUAUGCAUCCAUCAGUUUUACAUAUAACUUGAGGUGCAGACUUUUGGAGCCAGCUGCUUUGGUCAUUUAUCUCUUCAGGCAGCUCAGCUCAGUAUAACUUUUGAAUUAGUUGAGGUGUCCCAGUUUCUUUUCAGGUGAAGUUGUCAUGGGAAUCGGUAGGUUUCUGCUCCCAGAAUAUUUGACAAUCUUACCUUGGUAUUUUAAUAGGGGAAAAUAGAGUCCAUAGCAUUUUGACUAUUUGUAUCGCUACAUAAGUUUUUUUUAUAUUUCAGUUUAGAUAUUGCUUGAUAAUUACAAUCUUAGAUAAUGAUUUGAAAAUGUAUUAUAUAACAUUUAUCUCCAUAAAAUCGAGUUUUCAUAUAUUGUAACAAUGCUUUUCAGUGGAAACAUUGUGAGGUGGGUUGGGCUGAAAGGGAGUGAUUGGCCCAAUUCAUACGUCCAUUUGUGAAUCAUUAGGUGCAAAAUUAGUAAUUUUAUAUAUAAACAUGGAGUGACUUUUAAAUAUUUUACAUUGGAAGGGAAAUUGUUCAAAUAGAUUCGCUAAGUGCUUUACUGUUAGGAUUAUGAUUGAAGCAGAAGUAGAUUUAUGUCCAGUUUGAUCUAGUUAAGGCAUCAGGUUAGGAACAGCUGAUUGUGAGUUCUAGUUCUAUCUUAGAUUCAAAGCCAGCUGGAUGACAAUUAAUUUCUCUUAGCUUUAGGAAGGAAACAAGGACAAAUCAGUUCUGAAAAACCUUGCCAACAAAACUGCAGAGACUUGUCCUGGCACUAUCUGGGAGACAAUGCUGUCACGAAAAUACAACAACAACAAAAAAAUCUUACUAGAGAAAAUAUUGAUCAAGAUAUUUGAACAAAAUAUUGGAUUAUCUAAAGAAGGGUCUCCAUAAAAAACCCACCUGACUGAUUUAUAAGUAAUGCUUUAUCUAUUUUUCUUCUUUCAACAUAAGAUUUCAUCAAAUCCGAUUAAAGAGGAGAAAGUCAGUUUUAGAAUACAUUGUAUGAACCGUAUAUAAAUAAAUCUGUAUUAACUACUGGUAUAAAAAUGUAGUUUCUGUGUUAGAUGUUUGUCCUGAUUAACGUAAAUAAUGGUUGUUAGAGCAACAUCUAUGGGUAUGGUCUUAAAUUAUUGAAAUUUAUACUAAACGGAUCUCUCAGCAAUUGCAAGUGAAACAAAAAUUGCUUAUGUAAUAAGCAAAAACUUGUUAGCAGCUUUAAUGAGUGUUGAAUUGCAGCUAGAGGAAACUGCUGGUUAUUUACCACUGAAAAGAUACUCAUUUUAAAGAUAGUUAUGUGACAAAGGUGCACGCUAUGCGAAUUCUUAGUACACAAAAAACUAACAUUUCACUAUUCUAAAUUGAAAAGUUUAUGGUAUCAAUUUAUUUCAGGUAAUUGUUUUAUCCUUUUCAGAUAGGUACAGUUUGUUAAUAGAACAUGCAUAAUGCAUUCUAUUAAUGUUCAAAGAGAAUAACCCACUCUAAAUAGAUUAAAGGCUCUGGUUAUUUAUUGGGAUGUAGAUAUGACAACAUUUAACUUAGUUUAGGUAAUGUCAGGACAGAAUUUGGAGAAGAGACUAGUACAUCUUAGACUAGAUCAGAUUGGAUUGUGAAAAACAUUUGGGAAAAAGAAGAAAGAAGUGACUUAUUAUUUCUAUAUUGUUGACCAGAAAACUACAUUUUUGUGUCCAUAAAGGCACCAGAAAUUAAGCUCAGUUCAAGAGGCUUUACCUUUUUAAAGUUGGCAGAACCUAGUCAAUUUACUGAUCAUGAAAAAUCAAUCUCAUCCACAAUACUUUUUAAUACACUGCCUAAAUAAUAGCAAUAGCACUUAGACCUGUAUACUGUUUCAUAGUGCUUUACAG